This 456-nucleotide ribosomal RNA is filed under the name uncultured bacterium. Its description in RNAcentral is "bacterial SSU rRNA". It matches the Rfam family "Bacterial small subunit ribosomal RNA", at positions 340 to 786 of the family's 1533-position model. The record is from RNAcentral.
UACGAAGGCAGCAGUGGGGAAUAUUGCACAAUGGGCGAAAGCCUGAUGCAGCUAUGCCGCGUGUAUGAAGAAGGCCUUAGGGUUGUAAAGUACUUUCAUCGGGGAGGAAAAAACAAAACUAAUAAUUUUAUUUCUUGACGUUACCCGAAAAAGAAGCACCGGCUAACUCCGUGCCAGCAGCCGCGGUAAUACGGAGGGUGCUAGCGUUAAUCAGAAUUACUGGGCGUAAAGAGCACGUAGGUGGUUUUUUUAAAGUCAGAUGUGAAAUCCCUGGGCUUAACCUGGAACUGCAUUUUGAAACUGAAAUACUAGAGUAUCGUAGAGGGAGGUAGAAUUCUAGGUGUAGCGGUGAAAUGCGUAGAUAUCUGGAGGAAUACCUGUGGCGAAAGCGGCCUCCUAAACGAAUACUGACACUGAGGGUGCGAAAGCGUGGGGAGCAAACAGGGAUUAGAUACC